CGAAGACAUGAGGAAUGGAUUCCAGUUGUUUGCGCCGACAAAUGGAGUUCAGCCCUUCUUCUUAGGACUCUACUGGCGGAUCGUAGGCCUAUGUGCGACUGAAUAUUACCACAGCUCCAUUUCAUAAAGAACAUAUAUGGCAGAUGUUCGGGAGCAUCAAGGAAAAGAGUACGGAUUCAGACUGGACUGUUUCGAAACUUUGGCUUUGUUGUCAGUUGUUUCAGAGGCGCUGUGGGCUGGAGAGGCCUACUGAGGCCCAGUACUUGGGGCAGCUGACCUUUGGCCGCUAUACUAGCAGGACCUUCAGGUGGCUGGUGGAGAAAGACAUGGGCUUCGUCAAACAGGUAGCGUCCAGCACAAGCACCACCAGACAAACACUCAUGCUGGGACACAUCUGUCAAGCAAUGGCUGCUGACGAAGGAGAGUGACAUCCACUUCAUGUCGGUCAUGCGCUUUCAUCUGUACAUUCUUGGCAAAGAGCCUCCACAGGACGCCACUUCCAGCUCUCCAUCCCCCUGCAGCAACGCUCUGGACGACACCGCCUUGGUGGAUGCCCUCGUCGCUUUUGAGAGCCAUGGGGAGCUCUUGCCGAUCUCACCAGCCAGCCUGUGUCCGUCAAAGGGUCCAAACAGCCGCCGCUUUCCACCAAUGUGCCAGCAAUUGCAGAGUGUCCUACAGUCUACCAGCAAGAAGGCAAAGCGCAGGAAGCAACAGAAGCAGUGUCCCCCCAGCAGCUUUCUUUUAGGUGUGUGGAGAGCGGUGUUUUAUUUCAUGCGGGGGUCCACGUGGGACCGACUCAGGAGGGACAGAAUGAAGGGCCCAGAAGCCCCUGCCGCCCUCCCUGCCCUCCGCCAGCAAGGCUGCUUCUAGUGAGUGUCACGAGCAGCAACAGCAGCAGAUGCCCCUGCCGUCUUCAGCGCCUGCUCAGUCUCCCCCCAAUGCUCGCCCUGAGGAGCCGCCAUUAAGCUCCAACAGCCAGCCUGCGUCUGCCACCACCUCGCCACAGAGUGACUCUCCUGUGGAGCUGGAAGGCUGGGUGCAGCUAUGGAAACAGUCCUAUGGCAUCCCAUCUGUAGCCAUGCUCUGGCUGAAGGAGCACCAUGAGACUGCUGCCUUUUCUACUGACGGCCCAACGGAGUGUGAUGCCCGCCUAAAGGACAUCUAGGGCAUCAUUAGAAAGUGGUGCGUCCCGAAGUCUGACCGGAUGUGGUUUUACCCCCUCGAGCCACCCGGCUUCAUUAGCGACAGCAUCCCCACGCCGCAGGCCUUUUUCCACAGCCUUUUUUUCUUUUGGUGCCCCAUCGGAGUGUGGCGGUGUCCGUGUGGCGACAAGUGCGCUGGGGCCAGAGGCAACACACACCUCCAAGUCUGGUUACCACACCUGGGUAUGUCACAUCUGCAAUGUGUCGGCGCACCAUGGCAACCAUGUGUCGGCACACCAUGGCAACAGACGUGGUGUCCAGUGGACCGUGCCGCAAGGCUGCCAGGUGUGGAGGGAGUGGUCCCAUGGGUUGGUGGCCUGCUGCCACCUUGGUCCCCUCUGUGCGAAGAACCACCUGGAGGACUGCUACCAGAGGACCUCUACACAAUCCUCCUCAUGGCCUUGGUGGAACACGGAGGCAUCGUCUCUGCGUUGGGCCACAAGGACUUCCUCUCUUGCCAGAGAGCAACCCAGAGCAUGGUUCCUCCAGCACUUCUUCUACCUGGCUGAGGCAGACGAUGUCCAGGACUACCAGAGCCAGAUACUCUCCACGUGGUGAAGAAAUUGUCUGGGGAAAGCAAGGGCUCAGCCGAGUGAUUCACCAUUAUCGGCAACAAGUUCUCCCAGACAGCGUCUUUUGUUCUCACCUGCGAGGAGUCUGUUGAGAAGCUGGGGCCCAUGCGUCAUGGCAUGGUGGGACAGUUCCAGCUGGCCAAUCAACCUCCUGCAUGACCGCACAGAGGGGACCAAGGUGGCAGCAGUUGCAGGAGAACCACCUGGAGGACUGCUACCAGAGGACCUCUACACCACGCUCCUCAAGGCCUUAGUGGAUCCUGGAGGCAUCGCCUCUGUGUUGGGCCACGGGGACUUUAUGUCUUCCCAAAGAGCAACGCUGCUCGCGGCUCCUGUGGCACGCCACUGGAUCCGUCGCUUCAGUGCUGCUCUACGGGCUGAGGCUUGAAGUACGCUGCCUUCAAGUCUGCACUGGUUGGGGCAAAGCUGGCCUAUAACCGCAAGCUGGCCUUUAACCGCGAGAACCUCCAGCUACUCAUCAUGGCCGUAGACCCGGCCACAAUGGAGGUGGUGACGGACGAGGAUGUACACGCUCAAACAUCAUGUCCGGCAUCUCACCUCAGUGACCAGGUGACAUUUCUUCUUGUCCAUCGGCUCAUUGAAGAGCUCAAGGGUUCAGCAAGGCUCACCUAUAGCGAUGUCAGUCUCUUCAAGUCCCCUGUAUUUACUGCUGCCAUUGAUGAGAUGUGGGCCAGCCAGCAGCAACACCUGCAAUGGAUCCGGGACUCACCAGACACGGUGAUGUGCCGUUAUGCCCGCACCACGACCAUCAUCGGUGUGGACCUGCUUUAUUAUAAGGGCCUGCGGUGGAGGGUGGAGCGGUUCCACAAGUCAUAUGAUUCUAGGUCAUCUAACGUGGAAAAAGAAUUGUUUAACAGCACAACAGACAACAAACACUUGUCCCCUUUAUCUCAUUCAGAUAACACCUAUUGUGAUGUUCAGGUCCCCACUGUGCGGCACGGCCUUGUCAGGUGUAUCUGAUCAGUGGAAUCAAUGGAACUACGGCUACAGCUCGUAAACAGCUGUUUGGGGGGAAGAGGCCGGCAUCACCGACUACUCUGCGCCACUCAUUGACCGGAGCAAGCGGAAGAGAACUUCAGGGCCCUGGCUGAUCUCCGGUCAGACGAGCUGCUUGGGCUGGAGUACCUUUUCAGCCAGAGCACGGGGGAGUCCUUCUGUCUGGAGGGCAUCGUCCACGCCGGUCCUGGGCCAGAGCUGGAGGUCAUUCAGGCCGACCUAGGACGCUGACGCUGACGCAGACGAGGAGUUCCAGCCCUGAAUCACACUGACCAGCAACGGGACUGCUACGGUCAAGCCUCCUGCUUUUGAGGAUGUCUGCAGUGAUAUUACAUGUACUAAUAAUAAUACAUUAUUAUUAUUUUCAUGUUAUUUAUUUAUUUUGUUUUCUCAUGUAGUUAUUUAGCAUACCGUUAUUAUUUAUUUUAUUUUAUUAAUCAUUUGUAAAGUACUAAACCUUGUUGUGUUAAAUGUCCUAUAAAUAAAUUGACUUGA
This is a long non-coding RNA of Sardina pilchardus (European sardine), 3286 nucleotides long. RefSeq lists it as uncharacterized. Lineage: Eukaryota; Metazoa; Chordata; Actinopteri; Clupeiformes; Clupeidae. The transcript is spliced from 12 exons. The record is from RefSeq and is a predicted model, not a curated record.